Molecule: ribosomal RNA, 253 nt
Filed under: uncultured bacterium
Lineage: Bacteria
Description: partial 16S ribosomal RNA
Rfam family: Bacterial small subunit ribosomal RNA
Source: RNAcentral
UACGUAGGGUGCAAGCGUUGUCCGGAAUUAUUGGGCGUAAAGAGCUCGUAGGCGGUUUGUCGCGUCGGCUGUGAAAACCUGGGGCUCAACCCCGGGCCUGCAGCCGAUACGGGCAAACUAGAGUUCGGUAGGGGAGACUGGAAUUCCUGGUGUAGCGGUGAAAUGCGCAGAUAUCAGGAGGAACACCGGUGGCGAAGGCGGCUCUCUGGAACGCAACUGACGCUGAGACGCGAAAGCGUGGGGAGCAAACAGG